GGCUGGUUAGUGGAGGAAUAAAUGAAUUUAAUGCAGUCAGAAAGCCACUUGGAUAAUGUGAUUUUUGAUACUGCAGAACCUUUCUUAUUCUCUGCGUAAGAGACAAAGAGUUGAU
This is a long non-coding RNA of Protopterus annectens (West African lungfish), 115 nucleotides long. RefSeq lists it as uncharacterized. The record is from RefSeq and is a predicted model, not a curated record. The transcript is spliced from 3 exons. Lineage: Eukaryota; Metazoa; Chordata; Ceratodontiformes; Protopteridae.